This is a long non-coding RNA of Dromaius novaehollandiae (emu), 2771 nucleotides long. RefSeq lists it as uncharacterized. The record is from RefSeq and is a predicted model, not a curated record. The transcript has 6 exons. NCBI's taxonomy places the organism in Eukaryota, Metazoa, Chordata, Aves, Casuariiformes, Dromaiidae.
AAAAGGCCGCCGGCCCCCGCCAGGGCGCGGCUCGGCCCCGGCAGCAGCCGCCGCUGGAGGCUGUCCGGGCAGGGGCGCCGCGCCCCGCGCCUCUCGCGGAGGGACCCGCAGCCCGGCACCGACGCGCGGCUUACGGCCAGCCUAAGGGCCGGGCGGCUCCGUCCCCGCGUUGCCUUUCUUAGAAAAGGAGCCGCAGGGAGAAAAUCCCAGGGAAAACUCCGCUUCCCUCCUGCAGCCUCCUCGCGUCGUUCGUGGCAGAGCAAGCGAGCAAGGAUGCUCGCGGUGCCCGGUCGCGAAGGGGGGAGGCGAAGGGCUACGUCUUUGGAGCCACUCGUUUUUUAAGGGUCGUGACUACGAGGUGGAUCCAAAGCGGGGGGUCGGGUGGUACUGGAGGGAGGGUCACUCCACUGAGGAAUUCCCACGGUCGCUUCACCAUCUCCUUAUCACAGCGAUAGCGAAACACCCGUGGCGAGGAGUUCAGCACAAGGUUACAGAAAAAACUCAGCUUCAGAAUUUACCAGGAGCUACGACAAGGAGUGCAAACCCAAAGAACGACAAGGAGCAGUUUUUUAACCAUCUUCAGCUACAGCACCUGGCUCAUGGCACAUUCUGCUGGGAUCCACAUAUCCAUCGUCUCCAGGGCAUCCCGGAAUAUCUACAUUCAAUCCAUAUUGGAUAAUUUCAGCUAUAUUUAUAGCGUUUAUGACAGUGGAUCUACAUAUACAGAUGAGAUAUGGCUGCUAAAAGGAGCCAUCAGACAAAAGGGCAGGAGAGGAAGCUAAAAAUCCUUUUCAAAAGGCAGAGAAAAUAAAUGAACAACAAAAAAAAAGAUGCCAAAAGGAACUGUGCCGUUAAUGGCUUUGCAAAUGCUUGUUUGUCCCCACAUGAAGGAAGAUGGAUGUGUGAAGAGUCACCCAAGUUUCAGGGAGAAACUGAGCAAGACAGAUUAGUCCCACCUCAGCCUGACACCUGGGGCACGUCCUUAUCUAAGGGGGUAAAUGGAUCAGAAUGUUACUGCCCGUUUAUUUAUUCUCCUUCUGUUUGGAGACUUUCCCUGAUUAAUUACUCUCUAGUAAUUGCUGCUGUUAACUAAUGUCAAACCUAAUUAACCUGGAGUCCCUUCAUCCAGUACCUCCACCAUCCCUUUGCAAAGACGAGAAGGUCAUCAGCUAGGAGGUUCUGAGGAUGGCCACACUUUACCCAUUCGUUUAUUUGCUUUGGGCCUUGUUUGCUAUUCCUGCCGCAAUGCCUGGCGACAGCUUUCUAGAAUUCCCAUCAAGUCUAAUUGGCCUGCUGAAGCAGCAGUGAACACAAGAUUUAAGAAAUGUUUUCUUUAAAAACUUCUGGUCCUACAGACACUUUGAGAUCAAGUUUCACUCUGCUGAAAUCACACACGAUUCCCUGUGAUUUUCAUGAGAAAUACUGUAAGAAAGUAUUAAAAGAGAAACAUGUCUCAGUGGUUUGGAGUGACUGAUGGCCAGGGGGGUUGAAGAGUGGGUGGUGGUAACAUAGCAAGGCAUCUACAGAAUCUUUAGAGGUUGCCAAAAUUAACACAUACAAGGUAUUCAGUAUCAAAGUUUUCAAUAUUUGGCUCCAUAAACACAAUACCGGUUGCAAAAACAAAGCUAAGGAUUUCAUGCUGAUUACUUAAAUAAAAACUGUUUAAUUAUGAACAUUUGGGAAAUGAAGUUAUGAAGAACUGACCAACAUUGCUACGGCUUCCUAGUGUUCAUACCAGACUGUGAACACUGUGCCAGCAUCUUACUGCUUAGCAUACUGUAGAUUCAGCUAUGGUAAACAGUUCUAAGGCUUAACAUGGCUCAGGCAGAUAGUUCAAUGCAGAAGGAGGUCUAGCUCAUCACUGAGGCCUUUCGCUUUUUUUUUUUUAUCAGCUGUGGACAAUGUAGUCCAAUAAAAGUUGACAGCAUCAUCUGUAGAGGUGCUGAUCAAGCAGGUAAAGUUCCUGUCUUCUUAACUUGAUUUUAUCUGCUUUUCAGGCAUUUUCAUACAAUAAAAUAAGAAGAUUUAUUUUAGAAAUAGAAAUAAAUCAUGUUAGUAUACAAGAAAUGUUGGAUGACACUUCAUAUUGGUCACAAAGAUCAGGCUUGUCUUCCUGACUCUUGACAAGAGCUCUGUUUUUUUUUAUAUAUUUUAUCAUUGAUAGGAUAAGAACAUUUUGGAUUGGGUUGUCUAGCAUGUCUCUCAUCCCUGAACAGUUCCCAAGCAAGGAGUCAGCAAGUACCAGGCUUCAUUCCUAGUAAGUGGUUUGGCCACAGCCACCCUGUUUUAAAAGCUGAGAGACUUCUAUAAUGUGGAAGUAGGCUUUUUCCAUUACACUCAGCCUCGUGGCUAAAGAGUCCUCUCCUGUCUUGAACAGGUCACUUUGCAUUCCCUCUUUCUCCUCUCAGAAUCACACUACCAGUCAUUUAAGAAUAUGCCAGUUAUUUUUAAAUAACUAACAUUGGAAUUGUGUUCUGCUUUGAUUUUCCUAUGAAAGCAGAGUAGGAGGAAGCUACAAAACCAAAGGGAAAAAACAUUCCUAAUGUUUUGAGCUGAAAUACAACAACAAAAACAACAGCAAUGAUGAUGACAACAAACCUUCUCAGUAUAAUCCUAGAACACUUUAGAUUUCUGAUGAAUAAUAAAGGAAAUGAGCACUGCUGCUAGUAUCUAAAGCAAGAAAGGAAUACUUGUAAAAAUAUAUACAUGUAUAUAUACCUGUAUACUGUUAUAAAUUUCAGCCAAUUGUAUACAAUUUUGUUAAUGCAAUA